RNAcentral lists this long non-coding RNA (220 nucleotides) under Elaeis guineensis (African oil palm). RNAcentral describes it as "long non-coding RNA (EGUI_LNC078966)". Lineage: Eukaryota; Viridiplantae; Streptophyta; Magnoliopsida; Arecales; Arecaceae. The record is from RNAcentral.
CACCAUAAUUUUUGAUGCCAUCUUUUUCCAUGCUGAAAUAGUUUUUGGAUGAUAUUUUUUCAUGCUAAAAAGAUCUUUUCCUUCUCUAUCUCAUGUCAAAAUUUGGGUAGGAUCAGGUUUUAAAUGGUAUGUUCAAAUUUGAUUUGAAAUAGAAUACCAUAUAGAUAAUGUUUGACAUUAUCUUUAAGAUCUUGCCGCCAACUUAUUUUUUUCUCCUUAU